This 711-nucleotide ribosomal RNA is filed under the name Triticum aestivum (bread wheat). Its description in RNAcentral is "partial small subunit ribosomal RNA". Lineage: Eukaryota; Viridiplantae; Streptophyta; Magnoliopsida; Poales; Poaceae. The record is from RNAcentral.
AUGUCUUUUGCAGGUAGAAGGGUGCUGGUCCGAUGCGUGCUGUCAGCAGUCCCAACAUUCACCCUGUCUGUGCUGCGUCCCCGAAAAAGACUGAUCAAAGACAUUGACAAGAUCUGUCGCCGUUUUCUCUGGGCACAGGAGAAAGAUCUCACCGCCGGACAGUGCAAAGUUGCAUGGAAAAAAAAUUGCACGCCAACUGAAAAUGGUGGACUAGGGAUCCAUGAACUAGAAAGAUUUUCCAGUGCCCUCUGUCAACGCUGGCUGUGGCUAUCUUGGCAAAGCGAGGAGAGACCCUGGAAAGGAUCCGAGCUACCGUGUGACAGCGCUGACAGAGCCCUCUUCAACAAUGCAACAUUAGUGACUCUGGGAAAUGGUAAACUUGCAUCUUUCUGGACAUCUACCUGGUUCACCACGCCUUGUCUUGCAGUACUUUUCCCAGACAUGUACAACCGAUCGAGGGGAAAGAAGAAAUGCGUGCAUGAUGCUCUUGCAAAUGACAAAUGGAUAUCAAACCUCAGACAGCCAACAAACAUAGACCUGAUUCAAAACUUCCUCAUCCUAUGGAGAGCAAUUCGAGAUGCCAAUAUCACUUUGCAACCGGACACUGAUGACAAAAUCACAUGGCGUCUACAUGGCUCAGGGAUAUACACUGCCAAAUCAGCAUACACAGCCCAGUUUGAUCAUCUUGCAAAAAUGAUUACAAGGAGCUGA